This 253-nucleotide ribosomal RNA is filed under the name uncultured bacterium. Its description in RNAcentral is "partial 16S ribosomal RNA". It matches the Rfam family "Bacterial small subunit ribosomal RNA", at positions 524 to 776 of the family's 1533-position model. The record is from RNAcentral.
UACGAAGGGGGCUAGCGUUGUUCGGAAUUACUGGGCGUAAAGCGCGUGUAGGCGGCUAUGCAAGUCGGAUGUGGAAGCCCUCGGCUCAACCGGGGAAGUGCACCCGAAACUGCAAAGCUAGAGUCUCGGAGAGGAGACUGGAAUUUACGGUGUAGCGGUGAAAUGCGUAGAUAUCGUAAGGAAGACCAGUAGCGAAGGCGGGUCUCUGGACAGUUCCUGACGCUGAGGCACGAAGGCCAGGGGAGCAAACGGG